CCUGGUUGUACCCUCCCCGGAGGAUUGGUGUGCACAGGUGUUUUGGGGGGCUCUCCUUGUUGGGUUAUCAAUGAAGGAAUUCAGGCUAGCCUGGGUUCCAAUCCUGUUGGUAUUUUUUGGAGUUAUCAAAUAAAGGGUUUGGCUGCUUGCCUUUUUAACAUCCACCAGGAGUCCAGACCCUGUGUUUGACAGUUAUUUUUGGGGGCUUGCCUGGGAUAUUCACGCCCAGAGGUGGUCUGGAGCAGCACAGAUUUGGGUGGCAUGCAUUUUCUUUUUUUUAUACCCCUGGACUACGUCGGGAUCACGGAAGGGUUGCUGAAUAGAACCUGAAGGCCAGCAGGAGUGACAACCCGGCAAGAAGGAACCCCCUCUCCAGGGAUCAACUCUGACCGAUCAACAGAUCCUAAGAAACAAAUAGAACAUUCCCUCACAUCUCUAGAGAUUGGGCCCUAAAAAGAGAAUUAACAAGUUGAUACAAAAAGGGAAUUUAAACUCCUGCAGCAAAGAAGCAAGGAAGUGACCGGAAAGGAGAAUAGAAAAGGGGAGGCAAGACCGAGCAAAGACAGUUUUGCCAUGAAUAUGGGUGGGAGAGUUAUCUGCAUCGGACUCCUAUGGAUAUUCCUCCUGUUGAUUCUCCAAGAAGGAGAAGGAAUUCUUUGCGACAAAUGCUAUUACCCCAUACACGCGGGAGAAUCUCAGACAGCCAUCCUCGGGAUCCAUACAAACCCGAGUCCCCGAUGUAUCAACUUUUGAAAAUUAACCACUUGUGAUGAGGAUGGUUCAGAGCAAGACUGUGGCACAGUGUGUAGAGUACUACUACACCUGGAAAAAAGAACAUAAACUUGCCAAAAGUCUUGCUCAGACUGUGAGCGAACCAAAGAGGAGCCAAAGCCCUCCCAGAAAGGAGGACGGGAAGACAGGGAAGAGAAGCCGCAAGAGGGCCCGCAACGCGGAGUGUCCCUGCUGCCAAGCGCCCCAGACACCCCAUUCGGCGGGAGGUCCCUUUCCCUGCGGCCAGUGCAAACGAGUGUUUGAAACCGUGCAGGAAAGGAACACACAUAGGAGAGGACUUCACCCACGGAAGGAAGAAGGGCCUCUCCCCAAGAAGAAAAGACCAAAUUAACCCUGCCGCUUGUCCGGGCCUAACAAGAAUUAUCUGUCACAUGGAUCUAGAUAGAAAUAAGACUGGUUUUUAAGUUCUUUAUUAGGAUGGUUUAUUCUUCUAUUUAGUCGACUAGGUAGACAUUUCUCAAUUUGUUACUUCAGAUUCAUUAACUUUCUUAAAGGUUUAUUAGGAUUAUUAGAUUAUUAUUAUGAUUAGAUUAUUUGACUAUUAGAUUAGUAGGUUAUUAGAUUAUUAUAGUUAGAUUAUUAGAUUCGAUUUUUAGCAACAUUUCUCAAUUUGUUAGUUGAGAUUCAUUCGCAUUCUUAAAGAUUUAUUAGGAUUAUUAGAUUAUUACGAUGAUUAGAUUAUUUGAUUAUUAGAUUAUUAGGUUAUUAGGUUAUUAUGUUGUUAUUCUUAGAUUAUUAGAUUCGAUUAUUAGCUUAUUAGAUGAUUAUUAUAGUUCGAUUCUUAUCAGUCAAUGGAAGAGGUUUGGUGGUGUUUGUUAAGCUCCAUCUUUUGUUAUCUUGUUUUCAUUAAGACAAAAGCUGUCUUUCUCAUGAAAGCAAAGUUGGUUCCAUUUUGUCUUUUUGUCUGUCUGAAGUCAUUCAAGCAAUGUCUGUUACAUUUGUCUGGUGUUGCAAACACGGUAUUGGCCCUGAGAAGGAUCUGGGCACCUGCAUCCUCCCACAGGCCCAGCCCCUUCCACAGCUGGCAGGACUUCCAAAGGUGUGUCCCCAUUGUGCCAGUGAAAUCAUGGUGGGCUUUCAUCCUUGCAUUCCUAAAAACCUCAGCUUGGAGUGAAAAGGGAGGCUUGGUUUAAUUCAAUGAAUUGGAUCUAUGUGAGUGGGCUUGUCUCAUUAUACUUGGAGGGAUAAAAGCCGGGGGUUUUAGUACUUCUGGUCGCCAAGCAACA
Molecule: long non-coding RNA, 2018 nt
Organism: Parus major (Great Tit)
Lineage: Eukaryota; Metazoa; Chordata; Aves; Passeriformes; Paridae
Product: zinc finger protein 541-like
Source: Ensembl